Entelurus aequoreus (snake pipefish) is the source of this 601-nucleotide long non-coding RNA. RefSeq lists it as uncharacterized. The transcript is spliced from 3 exons. The record is from RefSeq and is a predicted model, not a curated record. Lineage: Eukaryota; Metazoa; Chordata; Actinopteri; Syngnathiformes; Syngnathidae.
GUACGCGCAUGAGCCAACAUCUCUGGACUGUCUUUGCUGGAACACGAACGUAAGUAUAUAUUUAUUGAUUUAUUGCUACAUUCGCAGUAAAGAUCAGCCUUUGUGUUUCCAUCAUCAUUUAUGUAUGAUUGUAAUGACGUUUGAUAUUAGGACUAGCAGUAAAACUUUAUAUUCUGUAAAAAAAGGCUAUUUUAUUUCCAGCGCCGCCUCCCAGAAUGCUUUGCAUGGGGACGUGCGUCUGACGUCACGUAUACAGAAAAUUCAAAAUGGCUGCACGCGGUAGGUGAGGCCCUAGCGAAGAAAAGUGGAAAAGAGUGUUAUUCGUCAAAAAACCCACACAACGACGGUCAUUUUUUCGCCGUGCUAUUGUAAAAUUGUCUUUUAUCUGUGUUUUGUGUUCCGGGGGACCCCGACUCCAGAAUGUGAAAGUUUCCCGCGUGAAGCCGUGGAGCUCGAGAUCCUGUUUACUGUGGACUAGCUGUGUGUGACGCCAUGUUGUUUUUGUUUACAUUAAAAAAAAAAGCUCCACCGUCUCGCCGAGUGCCAGCAAGAGUCAUGAGUACUUGUCAACUCGACUCCUCAACUGGAGAUAACUUUCUAG